GGGGAUGCAGCUCAGUGGUAGAGCACUCUGCCAAACAUGUGAGAGGCCCUGGGUUCAAUCCCCAGCAUUGCAA
Molecule: transfer RNA, 73 nt
Filed under: Heterocephalus glaber (naked mole-rat)
Lineage: Eukaryota; Metazoa; Chordata; Mammalia; Rodentia; Bathyergidae
Rfam family: tRNA
About the family: Transfer RNA (tRNA) molecules are approximately 80 nucleotides in length. Their secondary structure includes four short double-helical elements and three loops (D, anti-codon, and T loops).
Source: Rfam by way of RNAcentral